This 998-nucleotide ribosomal RNA is filed under the name Agrococcus sp. RNAcentral describes it as "bacterial SSU rRNA". It matches the Rfam family "Bacterial small subunit ribosomal RNA", at positions 477 to 1472 of the family's 1533-position model. The record is from RNAcentral. Lineage: Bacteria; Bacillati; Actinomycetota; Actinomycetes; Micrococcales; Microbacteriaceae.
ACCUACAGAAAAAGCACCGGCUAACUACGUGCCAGCAGCCGCGGUAAUACGUAGGGUGCAAGCGUUGUCCGGAAUUAUUGGGCGUAAAGAGCUCGUAGGCGGUUUGUCGCGUCUGCUGUGAAAAUCCGAGGCUCAACCUCGGACCUGCAGUGGGUACGGGCAGACUAGAGUGCGGUAGGGGAGAUUGGAAUUCCUGGUGUAGCGGUGGAAUGCGCAGAUAUCAGGAGGAACACCGAUGGCGAAGGCAGAUCUCUGGGCCGUUACUGACGCUGAGGAGCGAAAGCAUGGGGAGCAAACAGGCUUAGAUACCCUGGUAGUCCAUGCCGUAAACGUUGGGAACUAGAUGUGGGGACCAUUCCACGGUCUCCGUGUCGUAGCUAACGCAUUAAGUUCCCCGCCUGGGGAGUACGGCCGCAAGGCUAAAACUCAAAGGAAUUGACGGGGGCCCGCACAAGCGGCGGAGCAUGCGGAUUAAUUCGAUGCAACGCGAAGAACCUUACCAAGGCUUGACAUAUACGAGAACACUGUAGAGAUACAGGACUCUUUGGACACUCGUAUACAGGUGGUGCAUGGUUGUCGUCAGCUCGUGUCGUGAGAUGUUGGGUUAAGUCCCGCAACGAGCGCAACCCUCGUCCUAUGUUGCCAGCACGUAAUGGUGGGAACUCAUGGGAUACUGCCGGGGUCAACUCGGAGGAAGGUGGGGAUGACGUCAAAUCAUCAUGCCCCUUAUGUCUUGGGCUUCACGCAUGCUACAAUGGCCGGUACAAUGGGCUGCAAUACCGCAAGGUGGAGCGAAUCCCAAAAAGCCGGUCUCAGUUCGGAUUGAGGUCUGCAACUCGACCUCAUGAAGUCGGAGUCGCUAGUAAUCGCAGAUCAGCAACGCUGCGGUGAAUACGUUCCCGGGCCUUGUACACACCGCCCGUCAAGUCAUGAAAGUCGGUAACACCCGAAGCCGGUGGCCUAACCUUUUGGAGGGAGCCGUCGAAGGUGAUUCCGGU